Molecule: long non-coding RNA, 564 nt
Organism: Magnolia sinica
Lineage: Eukaryota; Viridiplantae; Streptophyta; Magnoliopsida; Magnoliales; Magnoliaceae
Exons: 4
Source: RefSeq, a predicted model, not a curated record
GCCAUUUAAUGUGGUGUGACAGGUUUAGCUUUAGACGAAGGUAAACAAAAAUUUUACGAAAUAUUCAAUCAUUUCAAAUUUCUUUCUGAUUACUGUGGUUGCUAGUUUCCUAGUAGUUAUUUGGAUUUGCAGUUGUGGGCCGCUUUCCUGAUGAUGAUAUUGAAGAAAUUGAGGAUUUUAGACUUGGGAAGGUACAUAGCCUUUGAUGAAUAUGAAGGGAUUGAGGUGGCAUGGAACCAGGUGAAGCUGAAUCUGAGUCACAAUUCCCUCUCCGGUUCCAUUGGGGACCUAUUUACUGGUCUGAAGAAUCUAAAACAAAUCUAAAACAAAUGUUCUGGACUGUGGUGAGAAGAUUGAGCUUCUGGUAGACAAAACAGAGAACCUCUGCUCACAGGUGAUGAACCUCAAUAUCAUUGUGGGCCUGAACCUGCUGAAGGACUCCGAAAUACUGGUGCUGAUGCCUUUUACUGCUACACAGCUCACCAAAUAUCGACAGAAGAAACCGGUCCCUUGGAAACAAUGGCAAUCAUUGGCAACAAGGAGAUCAUUGACAUUAACCAAGGU